CAGAGCAUGGAACCCUUUUAGAUGGAGAAUGUAAUCAUGAAUGUGCUGGAGACAUCCUCGAGUCAUGCGGAGGAUCAGACAAAAUAGCUGUCUACCAAGUUAAUAUCGGUGUUUGCGUAGACCCUGGUCCUCCUCCAAACGGAUUCAGGAACAUUGAAGGAAGCUCUCUGCGAUACGGCAACAAAAUUUCCUUUGGAUGUUCCGAUGGAUACAUCUUACAAGGACCUAACUAUAUCCAAUGUGUUCAAAUGUAUGGCGGGAG
Long non-coding RNA from Lytechinus variegatus (green sea urchin), 262 nucleotides. RefSeq lists it as uncharacterized. The transcript has 2 exons. The record is from RefSeq and is a predicted model, not a curated record. NCBI's taxonomy places the organism in Eukaryota, Metazoa, Echinodermata, Echinoidea, Temnopleuroida, Toxopneustidae.